This 429-nucleotide ribosomal RNA is filed under the name Acidobacteriota bacterium. RNAcentral describes it as "Acidobacteria bacterium partial 16S ribosomal RNA". It matches the Rfam family "Bacterial small subunit ribosomal RNA", at positions 355 to 776 of the family's 1533-position model. Lineage: Bacteria; Pseudomonadati; Acidobacteriota. The record is from RNAcentral.
UGGGGAAUUUUGGACAAUGGGGGAAACCCUGAUCCAGCCAUCCCGCGUGUGCGAUGAAGGCCUUCGGGUUGUAAAGCACUUUUGGCAGGAAAGAAACGUCAUGGGUUAAUACCCCGUGAAACUGACGGUACGUGCAGAAUAAGCACCGGCUAACUACGUGCCAGCAGCCGCGGUAAUACGUAGGGUGCAAGCGUUAAUCGGAAUUACUGGGCGUAAAGCGUGCGCAGGCGGUUCGGAAAGAAAGAUGUGAAAUCCCAGAGCUCAACUUUGGAACUGCAUUUUUAACUACCGGGCUAGAGUGUGUCAGAGGGAGGUGGAAUUCCGCGUGUAGCAGUGAAAUGCGUAGAUAAGCGGAGGAACACCGAUGGCGAAGGCAGCCUCCUGGGAUAAAACUGACGCUCAUGCACGAAAGCGUGGGGAGCAAACAGG